AGUGAACGCUGGCGGUAGGCCUAACACAUGCAAGUCGAACGGCAGCACAGUAAGAGCUUGCUCUUACGGGUGGCGAGUGUCGGACGGGUGAGGAAUACAUCGGAAUCUACUUUUUCGUGGGGGAUAACGUGGGGAAACUUACGCUAAUACCGCAUACGACCUACGGGUGAAAGCAGGGGAUCUUCGGACCUUGCGCGAUUGAAUGAGCCGAUGUCGGAUUAGCUAGUUGGCGGGGUAAAGGCCCACCAAGGCGACGAUCCGUAGCUGGUCUGAGAGGAUGAUCAGCCACACUGGAACUGAGACACGGUCCAGACUCCUACGGGAGGCAGCAGUGGGGAAUAUUGGACAAUGGGCGCAAGCCUGAUCCAGCCAUACCGCGUGGGUGAAGAAGGCCUUCGGGUUGUAAAGCCCUUUUGUUGGGAAAGAAAAGCAGCAGGUUAAUACCCCGCUGUUCUGACGGUACCCAAAGAAUAAGCACCGGCUAACUUCGUG
Molecule: ribosomal RNA, 492 nt
Filed under: uncultured bacterium
Lineage: Bacteria
Description: partial 16S ribosomal RNA
Rfam family: Bacterial small subunit ribosomal RNA
Source: RNAcentral